AAUGAACGCUGGCGGCAUGCCUAACACAUGCAAGUCGAACGAGACCACCGGGACAAGUGGCGCAUGGGUGCGUCACGCGUGGGAACCUUCCCUUAGGCUUGGAAUAACUCUCCGACAGGGGUGCUAACAUCGGAUAAUGUCUUCGGACCAAAGAUAGAUCGCGCUUGGAUGGGCCCGCGUUGGAUUAGCUAGUUGCGAGGGUAAGAGCCUACCAAGGAGUCGAUCCAUAGCUGGUUAGAGAGAAUGAUCAGCCACACUGAGGCUGAGACCCGGCCCAGACUCCUACGGGAGGGAGGAGUGGGGGAUAUAGGACAAUGGGCGGAAGGCUGAAGCAGUUCGGCCGGGUAAGUGAUGAUGUCCGGAGAGUAAAAAAGCUCUUUUAUCCGGGAUUAUAAUGACGGUACCGAAAGAAUAAGCUCCGGCUAACUCCGUG
Molecule: ribosomal RNA, 433 nt
Filed under: uncultured bacterium
Lineage: Bacteria
Description: partial 16S ribosomal RNA
Rfam family: Bacterial small subunit ribosomal RNA
Source: RNAcentral